Molecule: ribosomal RNA, 254 nt
Filed under: uncultured bacterium
Lineage: Bacteria
Description: partial 16S ribosomal RNA
Rfam family: Bacterial small subunit ribosomal RNA
Source: RNAcentral
CGGACGGGUGAGUAACGCGUGGAAAACCUGCCGUAUACUGGGGGAUAACACUUAGAAAUAGGUGCUAAUACCGCAUAAGCGCACAGCUUCGCAUGAAGCGGUGUGAAAAACUCUGGUGGUAUACGAUGGUUCCGCGUCUGAUUAGCUAGUUGGUGGGGUAAUGGCCUACCAGGCAACGAUCAGUAGCCGGCCUGAGAGGGUGAACGGCCACAUUGGGACUGAGACACGGCCCAAACUCCUACGGAAGGCAGCAG